AUUGAACGCUGGCGGCAUGCCUUACACAUGCAAGUCGAACGCGAAAGGGGGCAACCCUGAGUAGAGUGGCGCACGGGUGAGCAAUACAUCGGAACAUACCCAGUAGUGGGGGACAACCAGUCGAAAAACUGGCUAAUACCGCAUACGACCUACGGGUGAAAGCGGGGGACCGUAAGGCCUCGCGCUAUUGGAUUGGCCGAUGUCUGAUUAGGUAGGUGGUGAGGUAACGGCUCACCAAGGCCACGAUCAGUAGCUGGUCUGAGAGGAUGAUCAACAACACUGGGACUGAGACGCGGCCCCGACGCCUACGGGAGGCAGCAGAGGGGAAUUUUGGACAAUGGGCGCAACCCUGAUCCAGCAAUGCCGCGUGAGUGAAGAAGGCCUUCGUGUUGUAAAGCUCUUUCGGCCGGGACGAAAUCGCUCUGGUGAAUAUCCAGGGUGGAUGACGGUACCGGAAUAAGAAGCACCGGCUAACUACAUGCCAGCCGCCGCUGUAA
Molecule: ribosomal RNA, 497 nt
Filed under: uncultured bacterium
Lineage: Bacteria
Description: partial 16S ribosomal RNA
Rfam family: Bacterial small subunit ribosomal RNA
Source: RNAcentral